AUGCAGGCCACCGUUGCUUUGUCGGCCGUGCUGCCUGUCGCCGUAAGGGGCAGGCCGGCGGCGAGGAGGAGGAGCGCCACCGUUGCUGGCGGCGGCAGAAGGACCGUGGGUGCCGGCGUCCGGGCAUCGGCGGCGGCGGCGCCGGAGGCGGACUACAGCUCCAGCGUCUCGUACGUUCUCUCUCACCCCUCCUUGAUCGUUCGGCCAAUGCGGGCGGGGUGCAGGGUGUUCCCCAUGGAGGCCUGCGACCUGGUCGGCGGCGAGGCGUGCGAGGCGCAGAUGUACCCGGAGACGAAGCUCGGCGCCGGUGCAGGCGCCCCGGCGGCCGCGGCGAGGGCGCCGGAGGUGGAGAGGGAGUACCUAGCCUACGACGGGCCAAAAACGGUGUUCCCGGACGAGGCGUGCGACGAUCUUGGCGGCGAGUUCUGCGAGGCGCCCUACCAAACCACCAAGUAG
Molecule: ribosomal RNA, 456 nt
Filed under: Triticum aestivum (bread wheat)
Lineage: Eukaryota; Viridiplantae; Streptophyta; Magnoliopsida; Poales; Poaceae
Description: partial small subunit ribosomal RNA
Source: RNAcentral